RNAcentral lists this ribosomal RNA (122 nucleotides) under Monotropa uniflora (ghost pipe). Lineage: Eukaryota; Viridiplantae; Streptophyta; Magnoliopsida; Ericales; Ericaceae. The record is from RNAcentral.
UAAUCUGGUGUUCUAGGCGUAUUGGAACCACACCAUCUUUUAAACCAACUUGGUUGUUAAACUUUACUGCGGUGACAAUACUAUAGGGGAGACUCUAUGGGAAAAUAGCUCAAUGCCAGAUA